Molecule: ribosomal RNA, 252 nt
Filed under: uncultured bacterium
Lineage: Bacteria
Description: partial 16S ribosomal RNA
Rfam family: Bacterial small subunit ribosomal RNA
Source: RNAcentral
UAAAACGUAGGUACCGAGCGUUAUCCGGAUUUACUGGGCGUAAAGCGCGUUCAGGCGGUUUGGCAAGUCGGGCAUGAAAUCUCUCGGCUCAACCGGGAGAGGUUGUCCGAUACUGCUGGACUUGAGGGCAGUAGAGGGUGGUGGAAUUCCGGGUGUAGUGGUGAAAUGCGUAGAUAUCCGGAGGAACACCAGUGGCGAAAGCGGCCACCUGGACUGUACCUGACGCUGACACGCGAAAGCUAGGGGAGCGAA